RNAcentral lists this non-coding RNA (205 nucleotides) under Arenimonas oryziterrae. The record is from RNAcentral. Lineage: Bacteria; Pseudomonadati; Pseudomonadota; Gammaproteobacteria; Lysobacterales; Lysobacteraceae. RNAcentral also lists the same sequence under 1 other name.
CGAUAACUUGUGUCUGUCGGUCCCGGCCUCACGGUCGGGUUAAUAGGGAAGCCGGUGUGAUUCCGGCGCUGCCCCGCAGCGGUAUGUGGAAACGAACGCCGUCAAAACGCACUGGGGCAACGGUCCCCGGGAAGCGACGGUCACUAGGUCAGGCGCCUGCCUGGAGUCCACGAGUCCGAAGACCUGCCGACAGCCGCGCGAUGCA